Molecule: ribosomal RNA, 492 nt
Filed under: Drosophila hemipeza
Lineage: Eukaryota; Metazoa; Arthropoda; Insecta; Diptera; Drosophilidae
Description: partial 16S ribosomal RNA
Source: RNAcentral
UUAAUAAUAUUCUUAAUAAAAAUAUAAUUAUUUUAAUAUUUGGUCCUUUCGUACUAAAAUAUUAUAAUUUUUUAAAGAUAGAAACCAACCUGGCUUACGCCGGUUUGAACUCAGAUCAUGUAAGAAUUUAAAAGUCGAACAGACUUAAAAUUUGAACGGCUACACCCAAAAUUAUAUCUUAAUCCAACAUCGAGGUCGCAAUCUUUUUUAUCGAUAUGAACUCUCCAAAAAAAUUACGCUGUUAUCCCUAAAGUAACUUAAAUUUUUAAUCAUUAUUAAUGGAUCAAUUAUUCAUAAAUCAAUGGCUUUAAAAAUUAAAAGUUUUUUAAAUUUUAAUAUCACCCCAAUAAAAUAUUUUAAUUUAUUAUAAUAAAAAUAAUCUUUACAAUUAAAAUAAAUAAAAUAUAAAGAUUUAUAGGGUCUUCUCGUCUUUUAAAUUUAUUUUAGCUUUUUGACUAAAAAAUAAAAUUCUAUAAAAAAUUCAAAUGAAAC